UUCUCUCACGAGCGACGAACGAUCGAUAGAAUACACUCUAGAGAGAGUAUCUCCUAACACGUUACACCGAUUUUCCGCAUUUCAGAAUUCGAUUAUCUCCGGCAGCAGCGGUUUCUCAGUGGAUCCUCCCGAUCGUCACGAGACGAGACAGCCGACGGACGCACUGUAGCCGACGUGCCACCACGUUCGCAGCGAAAAUACGGCAAUGCGGCGUGUCGGACCGUGAUGCGAUCCGCGUUCACUCGUGAUCGUCCUCGGUACUCGACUUUCGCGGAUGUACACCAAUGGUACAGCACCAUCGGGAUGCAUAUACGCGGACGCACACUCAGCUGUUUCCCCGCGUCUGCGCCAGUCUUCCCAGCUAUUGACCGAAUACCACGCUGCUGCCUGUGUAACGCAUACAGAGUGUUCCCGAAAUCAUGAUACGAAAUUCGUAUAGUAAUAUCAGUCAAUAUCGUCAGGACGUCACGAGACGAUGUCACAGAACUGUCGAGGUGAUGCCAUAAGAUCGUCAAGAUGUUACAAAAUUGAGUUUACGGUUAUUCGAAAGCGUAGCCGAUUCGUACGAUCUGUGUCACGAUUUCCGCAACACCCAGUGCAUGUGGUUUUCUUGCUACAAGUGCAUGCAUGAACGCAGACAUGCACGCGGGAGACACAGGGAUGGGAUCAGGCUGCAGCUGCAACCAUUGGCAUGUGUACAGAGGGGCCACCGCGCCGGUCAGCUGUUUAAAACCCGAUCCACUUCCGUUUCUUCCUAUCAAGCGAAACCGCAAUAAUAAUAAUGACAAAGAAGUGUACAGGGAGCUCCGUGCGUUUGUGAUGGACAUUUAAUUGCCUCAAAGCAACACUUCCUCAUUAAGAGGAAUAGACACAGUAACGUAACAAGGAACGACACAACCAUGCACCAUCACCGAUACCACGAAAUUCUUUGACAACUGGGAACAAGAUGCAUCAGAGGAACACGCACCCUGUCCAUCGGUCCAUAGCGUGGCGCAACGAAAUGCGCAGCAGUUCCUGUUCCCAGUGCAAUAAAGCCGAGGCGAUUACACCGACGGAAAUCGGUGCAUCUGACGCGGACGACACAUCCGGGGGGAUCCACCGAGCCGUCGAGAUAGGCACCGGUGAGAUCAUCGGGAUUCCAUGCUGCAGAUCCAACAUCGAACGCCAUCAGCCUCCACCGAUCCGGUAAAACGAGAGGAAAAAAAACAGAGCAAAGCUUGCCCGACCCGCCACUGCACACCUUGUCACGUUGCCUUUUCAGCGUAACCGCACCAGUGGAAUUUCUGAGGAUGCCUAUCGACCGGCUUGUCGUGCCUCGUCUCACAACGUGCAAUCGAACACGAUCGAUCAUACGACAUAAUAGGCAAUAGUCACGUGCAAGAUUCGACAAUGUGUUAAGAGUAAUCCCUUGACAAUACUAAGUCUAGAAUAACUAAUUCUCUCAUCGUUCCAGGGUCGUUCGUAGACGAUAUCACUGUUGAUCCAUCGUUAAGAUUGUCAGACUGCAAACUUCGAUGCAUUUAUGAGAAAAUUAAAUGUACGGAAAAUAUACGGAAUAAUUGUCUUUC
Ceratina calcarata is the source of this 1568-nucleotide long non-coding RNA. RefSeq lists it as uncharacterized. The record is from RefSeq and is a predicted model, not a curated record. The transcript is spliced from 3 exons. Lineage: Eukaryota; Metazoa; Arthropoda; Insecta; Hymenoptera; Apidae.